GACGAACGCUGGCGGCGUGCUUAACACAUGCAAGUCGAACGGAAAGGCCCUGCUUUUGUGGGGUGCUCGAGUGGCGAACGGGUGAGUAACACGUGAGUAACCUGCCCUUGACUUUGGGAUAACUUCAGGAAACUGGGGCUAAUACCGGAUAGGUGCUCCUGCUGCAUGGUGGGGGUUGGAAAGUUUCGGCGGUUGGGGAUGGACUCGCGGCUUAUCAGCUUGUUGGUGGGGUAGUGGCUUACCAAGGCUUUGACGGGUAGCCGGCCUGAGAGGGUGACCGGCCACAUUGGGACUGAGAUACGGCCCAGACUCCUACGGGAGGCAGCAGUGGGGAAUAUUGCACAAUGGGCGGAAGCCUGAUGCAGCAACGCCGCGUGCGGGAUGACGGCCUUCGGGUUGUAAACCGCUUUCGCCUGUGACGAAGCGUGAGUGACGGUAAUGGGUAAAGAAGAACCGGCUAACUACGUG
RNAcentral lists this ribosomal RNA (468 nucleotides) under uncultured bacterium. RNAcentral describes it as "partial 16S ribosomal RNA". It matches the Rfam family "Bacterial small subunit ribosomal RNA", at positions 28 to 507 of the family's 1533-position model. The record is from RNAcentral.